Long non-coding RNA from Magnolia sinica, 515 nucleotides. RefSeq lists it as uncharacterized. The transcript is spliced from 2 exons. The record is from RefSeq and is a predicted model, not a curated record. Lineage: Eukaryota; Viridiplantae; Streptophyta; Magnoliopsida; Magnoliales; Magnoliaceae.
GGAUUCAAAACUGAAAUCUUUAAGUAGGUAUCCGAAAUCGAAAAUCUUUAAUUAAAGAUUUGAAAUGUUAAUCGUGCUUUAUCAUCAUCCCUAUUCAGGGAAAAUGGAGGAUUAAGAGAGGCCCUGUUUAUUUGUCUCUCAGCAUUCAUUCAUUUGGGAGUGUGAUCAAUCAGUAGGUAAAACUACAUCACUCAAUUUGAAACUCAGCCCAGGCGAGUUGAUGAGAAUUCUAGCCAAGUCAUUAUGAAAACUAUGUGAAAAGAUAAAAUGCUGAUUGCAGUAUCAGUUGGUAGAAAUACCAGACAGUCAGAAGGAAAUGGUCUGAUUUCCCAUUAACACGACCUACACUAAACUUAGAUCCUUUAAAUUCUCAAUGGUACUGAUGUUGGAUUUUUUUAAAUCAUGAAUAUAAUUAAGACCUCUUUGGUUGACACAAAAAUGAUUUAAUCUCAUUUUAUGUGAUAUCUAAUAUAUAUUUAUGAUUAAUUAAAAUAAGAUGAAUUCAUGUUCUUAAA